GAUGAACGCUAGCGGCAGGCCUAAUACAUGCAAGUCGUACGGCAACACAGUUGCGAGCAAUCGCAACCGGUGGCGAGUGGCGCACGGGUGAGUAACGCGUAUGUAACCUACCCUUCUCCGGGACAUAACUCCGCGAAAGCGGUGCUAAUAUCCCAUACCAACUCAUCAAGACAUCUUCUUGAGUUGAAAGCAGCAAUGCGGUGAAGGAUGGGCAUGCGUCCCAUUAGCUGGUUGGUGAGGUAAUGGCCCACCAAGGCUACGAUGGGUAGGGGUUCUGAGAGAAAAGCCCCCCACACUGGUACUGAGACACGGACCAGACUCCUACGGGAGGCAGCAGUAAGGAAUAUUGGGCAAUGGUCGAAAGACUGACCCAGCCAUGCCGCGUGCAGGAUGAAGGCCCUAUGGGUUGUAAACUUCUUUUGCAGGGGAAUAAAGUAUUCCACGAGAUGGGAUAUUGCAAGUACGCUGCGAAUAAGGAUCGGA
Molecule: ribosomal RNA, 483 nt
Filed under: uncultured bacterium
Lineage: Bacteria
Description: bacterial SSU rRNA
Rfam family: Bacterial small subunit ribosomal RNA
Source: RNAcentral